CAAAUGAAGACCAAGAUGGCUCAAAUGAAGUUUCCCAUAAGAAUGACAAGGGCACUACUGAGAUGGUGCAAGAUUUUUUUUGCUAAUAUGUCCAGUGUAAGUGUGGACUUUGAGGAGGAGAAUGAUAGAGAUGUAGAAGGCAUAAACCAUGGAACUGAAAUUUCUUGGAAUAGUGGCAAUGAAAUGGGAUUGCUAAUUCAAAAAGGAAAGACAAGGGGUUUUGAUGUUAAGAAGGAGAAUGAUCUUCGUGUUGAUGCAGCAAUUUUUCAUAGUGAUGGAGAAGAGGAAGAGGUUGAUAUUAUU
This 303-nucleotide unclassified non-coding RNA is filed under the name Hevea brasiliensis (rubber tree). Lineage: Eukaryota; Viridiplantae; Streptophyta; Magnoliopsida; Malpighiales; Euphorbiaceae. The record is from RNAcentral.